This 203-nucleotide long non-coding RNA is filed under the name Elaeis guineensis (African oil palm). RNAcentral's name for it is "long non-coding RNA (EGUI_LNC052248)". Lineage: Eukaryota; Viridiplantae; Streptophyta; Magnoliopsida; Arecales; Arecaceae. The record is from RNAcentral.
UCCAUAAUGUGUGGAACUCAUGAUCAGAGAAUCUUGAUUCUCGAUCACUGAGUCUCAAAUAUGUAGGAUUCUGCACCAGCCAUUAGAUCAGAUAGGAAUCUCUAAUGUGUGUGACCCCGCAGGUUCGAAUCUAAGCCGGUAGCACAGGAACAAAUUUCUGUACUAAUCGAAGUGACCAUCUAGCAAUGGUACCCGACAUCCAG